Long non-coding RNA from Engraulis encrasicolus (European anchovy), 647 nucleotides. RefSeq lists it as uncharacterized. The record is from RefSeq and is a predicted model, not a curated record. Lineage: Eukaryota; Metazoa; Chordata; Actinopteri; Clupeiformes; Engraulidae. The transcript is spliced from 4 exons.
UCAGCUAACUGCAGUGUUCCACAAGACUGUUACCAGACCUUCAUGGGACCUUUCCGUUCUUUCUGGGUUGUCUUGAGGUUCUUCAGCGUUAGAGAGCAACUGAAAACAGGACACAGACCCAAACCAGAGGACAACAACUCUACAUUGACUCAGAGGAAUCCUCCAGGACGACGACACAAACCAAAACCACUGCACAACUCUACAUCAACUCCCACACUUUCCAGAGGAUUCCUCCUGUAUGCUGUUCAUGGUGAAGAGCAGCUUGAGGCUGACAGGGAUGCAAGUUGGACUGCUUAUCAAAGACAAAGGCCAGCUACAAGUCUUCAUCAUCAUUCAUCACAAGGUCAUCAUUCAUUUCAAAAGGGACAUGCCAACUGGCUAGUUGGGCUCAAUGUGAAGAAAAAGACUGUGAAUCUCUUGUGUGUUCACAAAACAUGGACUGUUGACCACACAGUGUUUUGGACUUGGACUACAUCAUGUACUAUACUCUUUUCAAUGACAUCACACUGCAUAUUGGUAAAAUAGUCCCUGGAGGAGUAAUUUUUGAAUUAGAUUCCUAAGGGCCCAGAAGUCAUGGAUGAGGGUACUGAUGUAUGGUUACAGAUUCAAAUCUGCAACCUUCCAAUUGCAAGAUUAACUCCCUACCA